RNAcentral lists this ribosomal RNA (1774 nucleotides) under Parcubacteria group bacterium CG11_big_fil_rev_8_21_14_0_20_39_14. RNAcentral describes it as "bacterial SSU rRNA". It matches the Rfam family "Bacterial small subunit ribosomal RNA". The record is from RNAcentral.
GAGAGUUUGAUCCUGGCUCAGGAUGAACGCUGGCGGCGUGGAUAAGGCAUGCAAGUCGUACGGCUUUGCCUUCGGCAAAGUGCGCAGAACUGACGCAGAACUAUACGCAGAACUGACGCAGAAAAUUUUUCUGCGUGGUUCCGCGCUAGCGAUUGUGAAGCAAUCGCUCUCUUCCGCGUCUGUUCCGCGUGCCUCGCUGGAGGCGAGACAGUGGCGAACGGGUUAGUAACACGUAGAUACAAACCCGCUACACAGGUAUAACUCGGAGAAAUCCGAGCUAAUUCCUGAUGGUCUGACGGCUGAACCUUGCUUACAAGGUUUAAAUAACUAAUAACCAAUUUCUAAUUUCUAAUAAAAAUCUAAAUGUCCAAUGACUAAUGCCUAAAUCUUUUAGACAUUAGACAUUUAAGAAUUGGACAUUUUAUUAGACAUUAGGAAUUAGAAAUUAGGAAUUUAUUUUUGACGUUGAAAGAUUAAAUUUUGUAAGUAUGGUUCAGCUGUCAGUAAAGGUAUAGACAACUUUACCGGUAGCGGAUUGGUCUGCGGCCUAUCAGCUUGUUGGUGGGGUAAUGGCCCACCAAGGCAAUGACGGGUAGGGGGAGUGAGAGCUUGACCCCCAACAGAGGUACUGCGACACGGACCUCACUCCUACGGGAGGCAGCAGUCGAGAAUAUUCGGCAAUGGGCGAAAGCCUGACCGAGCGACGCCGCGUGCGGGAAGAAGGCCUUCGGGUUGUAAACCGCUUUUUAUUCUGAUAAAGCCGAGCACUCAAUACGCAUAAUCAAAUUAUUCAUUGUUAUUAUUGAUUAAAUUUAUAUUUUCUGUCUUUAAAAGAUUGUGUUUAUUGAGUGCUCGGUUGAUAGUAGGAAUAGAAUAAGGGGCCUCUAAUCACGUGCCAGCAGAGGCGGUAAUACGUGAGCCCCAAGCGUUAUCCGGAAUUAUUGGGCGUAAAGCGUCUGUAGGCGGUUUGUUAAGUUUCUCGUCAAAUUUCACGGCUCAACCGUGGAGCUGCGGGAAAAACUGACAAACUAGAGAACAUAAGAGGCUGAUGGAACUCACGGUGUAGGAGUGAAAUCCAUUGAUAUCGUGGGGAACACCAAAGGCGAAGGCAUUCAGCUGGGAUGGUUCUGACGCUGAGAGACGAAAGCGUGGGGAGCAAAAAGGAUUAGAUACCCUUGUAGUCCACGCCCUAAACGAUGGACACUAGCUGUCUGGAGUAUCGACCCUCUGGGUGGCGAAGCUAACGCGUUAAGUGUCCCGCCUGGGAAGUACGGCCGCAAGGCUAAAACUCAAAGGAAUAGACGGGGAUUCACACAAGCGGUGGAUCAUGUGGUUCAAUUCGACAACAAACGAAGAACCUUACCAGGGUUUGACACCCCGACGAAAGCUAUUUGAAAGAAUGGCCUUCUCACAAGGACGUCGGGGCAGGUGCUGCAUGGUUGUCGUCAGCAUGUGGCGUGAGUUGCCCCCUUAAAUGGGUUAACAUGCGCAACCCCUAUUCUGAGUUAUAUGUGUCUCAGAAGACUGCCUCUUUAAUAGGGGAGGAAGGCGGGGAUGACGCCAAAUCAGCAUGGCCCUUUGAUGCCCUGGGCGACACACAUGAUACAAUGGCCGGUACAGAGGGUUGCCAAGCCGCGAGGCGGAGCCAAUCCCAUCAAAACCGGUCUCAGUUCGGAUUGAAGUCUGAAACUCGACUUCAUGAAGCUGGAAUCGCUAGUAACCGUGGAUCAGCUAUGCCACGGUGAAUACGUCCCUGAAUCUUGUACUCACCGCC